Small nucleolar RNA from Pelodiscus sinensis (Chinese soft-shelled turtle), 190 nucleotides. It matches the Rfam family "Small nucleolar RNA SNORD17". Rfam says of the family: The snoRNA HBI-43 belongs to the C/D family of snoRNAs, guiding 2'O-ribose methylation at position U3797 of the 28S rRNA. Pseudouridylation in position U3797 is predicted to be guided by the H/ACA snoRNA ACA48. Lineage: Eukaryota; Metazoa; Chordata; Testudines; Trionychidae. The record is from Rfam.
ACAAACAGCUAAUCAGCUGUUUGUCCGCUCAGCGCGCUAGUCUGGACGCUCCCCUGCCGACAUCAAAGCCUUUGUCGGCAGCCCCGUUAUUCCUCGUGGGAUGAGGUUUACCGGGGCUGCCGACAAAGGGAUUUGAUGUCGGCAGGGGAGCGUCCAGACUAGCGCGCUGAGCGGACAAACAGCUGAUCAG